Molecule: long non-coding RNA, 1224 nt
Filed under: Vitis vinifera (wine grape)
Lineage: Eukaryota; Viridiplantae; Streptophyta; Magnoliopsida; Vitales; Vitaceae
Description: long non-coding RNA (VVIN_LNC001957)
Source: RNAcentral
GAAUUUCUUAAAUGACUUCAUUUCCAUCCUUCUUGUCGAUUUGAUCUUCCAAAGAUGAAGACAAUCGCCAAGGGGGCUGUUUUUGGUGAUCAAGAGAAGAUAAAAGAGGUAAAGGUUUAAAGAAUAAAGAAAAAACCAGAGAGAAUUUACUUUCAAUCUGUUUUGAUGAUGAAUGCUACUUUCUGUCUAGACUUCUUAUCCUUUGGGUGGGUUCUUUAUGCUCUUUGGGACACAAAUUAAAGAAUAUUUGCUUUUCCGAAUGCCAUUCUCUCUUUCUUUUUAUUUUUAUCCUUUCCUUUCUAAUUUGACAUUUCAUGUGGACUUUUAAAUCCUCUACCAUUUCCUUUCUUUAUCUUUUCAGAAGAAUUCCACCUUUUCCCGUCCCUCCCUUAAUCUAAGCUGUUUCAGUAUGUGUUCCCCCAUUUUUCCAACUUUUUAUUAGUUUUUAAUUUCUCACCGACUGGUGGGCCUUCAGCUCACAUGCUUGGCAACCACCGCACCAACUCCUGCAGCUGUGCAUGUGCCUGCAUGUCGCUACUCUGCUGGUGAGACGAAGAGUAAAAUUUCUGAUCCUAUUUGGUCAGAUUUACAACAUUUACCCAUUUUGGCAGAGCUUUGAAGCAGCAUCUUCAGCCUAAGUUUCUGCAUUUUUGAAGCAGCAAACUUGCUGUAUUUGGAGAAGUAGCAGGCUGGAUAACAUGGGGACUCUUAUGUUUAUAGCUAAUCAAUAUUUCUUCGAUCAUUCACUACAUAAAUCAGGUGAAACUUGGCAAAACCUAUAUCUAUCAUUUUUGAGCACAGGAAGAGUUACUAGACUGGUUAUGUGAUAUUAUGAACACCCAUAAUAGAAGAAUGACUGAUUUGUUGAUGGUUGCAAAAAACAUAAAAGAUAAGAGUACGACAAUAUUUCCGUAGAAACUUGUCCAAUUGCCUUCAUAAGAAAAUAAUGCAGGCAAACACAUAGAAGAUGCACACACAAGCACACAUUACAGUUACUACGAUCUGAGGUAGCUUCUUAUUGUUUAAAAAUCUUGAUCAUUUUGGUGCCUUGACAGGAACUGCUGGGAAAUCAAGCAGAACAAUCUUCUCAAUGGCUGCUGAAAAGGUAGUAGAAAACUCAACAUGAUUGGGAUGGCUCAGAAAUGCAGUGAAGUCCCCCUGGUUAUUGAAUGUCAUCAAGAAGGCAUGGGUGAAGCCUUGUCUAAGCAUCUCCUGGCUUUCAAG